GAAGCACUGAGGGGAGCCGAAGCUCCCCUCAUAAGCGUUGUUGCCUGCUCUUUUCUUAUUAUUGGAGACUGGCCUGUUGUUGUUUUUGUCGGCUGUCGUCUCUGCACUGCGGGGCCCCCAACCGGGGCCAAGAGCAAACGUAUUUUUUUGAGCGCUGACCUGCGUUCAUCCAACGUGAUCCAACCUUGACUGCCGCUACCUCGGAGGUAGUU
RNAcentral lists this non-coding RNA (212 nucleotides) under Pseudomonas soli. RNAcentral also lists the same sequence under 1 other name. The record is from RNAcentral. Lineage: Bacteria; Pseudomonadati; Pseudomonadota; Gammaproteobacteria; Pseudomonadales; Pseudomonadaceae.